AUUGAACGCUGGCGGCAGGCCUAACACAUGCAAGUCGAGCGGAUGAAGGGAGCUUGCUCCUGGAUUCAGCGGCGGACGGGUGAGUAAUGCCUAGGAAUCUGCCUGGUAGUGGGGGAUAACGUCCGGAAACGGGCGCUAAUACCGCAUACGUCCUGAGGGAGAAAGUGGGGGAUCUUCGGACCUCACGCUAUCAGAUGAGCCUAGGUCGGAUUGGCUAGUUGGUGGGGUAAAGGCCUACCAAGGCGACGAUCCGUAACUGGUCUGAGAGGAUGAUCAGUAAAACUGGAACUGAGACACGGGCCAGACUCCUACGGGAGGCAGCAGUGGGGAAUAUUGGACAAUGGGCGAAAGCCUGAUCCAGCCAUGCCGCGUGUGUGAAGAAGGUCUUCGGAUUGUAAAGCACUUUAAGUUGGGAGGAAGGGCAGUAAGUUAAAACCUUGCUGUUUGACGUUACCAACAGAAUAAGCACCGGCUAACUUCGUG
RNAcentral lists this ribosomal RNA (483 nucleotides) under uncultured bacterium. Its description in RNAcentral is "partial 16S ribosomal RNA". It matches the Rfam family "Bacterial small subunit ribosomal RNA", at positions 30 to 507 of the family's 1533-position model. The record is from RNAcentral.